GAUGAACGCUGGCGGCGUGCCUAAUACAUGCAAGUCGAGCGAACAGACGAGGAGCUUGCUCCUCUGACGUUAGCGGCGGACGGGUGAGUAACACGUGGAUAACCUACCUAUAAGACUGGGAUAACUUCGGGAAACCGGAGCUAAUACCGGAUAAUAUAUUGAACCGCAUGGUUCAAUAGUGAAAGACGGUUUUGCUGUCACUUAUAGAUGGAUCCGCGCCGCAUUAGCUAGUUGGUAAGGUAACGGCUUACCAAGGCAACGAUGCGUAGCCGACCUGAGAGGGUGAACCGCCCAACCGGAACCGGGAACACGUCCCGAAUCCUACGGGGGGGAGGAGUAGGGAAUCUUCCGCCAUGGGGGGAAGCCUGAAGGAGCAAAGCCCGGGGAGUGAUGAAGGUUUUUGGAUCGUAAAACCCUUUUUUUUGGGAAAAAAAAAUGGUUAAAUAAAUAUGCCCCUCUUGGAGGUACCCAAUCAAAAAGCCCGCGGUAAAUUCCUG
RNAcentral lists this ribosomal RNA (497 nucleotides) under uncultured bacterium. Its description in RNAcentral is "partial 16S ribosomal RNA". It matches the Rfam family "Bacterial small subunit ribosomal RNA", at positions 28 to 507 of the family's 1533-position model. The record is from RNAcentral.